This 430-nucleotide ribosomal RNA is filed under the name Escherichia coli. RNAcentral's name for it is "bacterial SSU rRNA". It matches the Rfam family "Bacterial small subunit ribosomal RNA", at positions 856 to 1286 of the family's 1533-position model. Lineage: Bacteria; Pseudomonadati; Pseudomonadota; Gammaproteobacteria; Enterobacterales; Enterobacteriaceae. The record is from RNAcentral.
CGCGUUAAGUCGACCGCCUGGGGAGUACGGCCGCAAGGUUAAAACUCAAAUGAAUUGACGGGGGCCCGCACAAGCGGUGGAGCAUGUGGUUUAAUUCGAUGCAACGCGAAGAACCUUACCUGGUCUUGACAUCCACGGAAGUUUUCAGAGAUGAGAAUGUGCCUUCGGGAACCGUGAGACAGGUGCUGCAUGGCUGUCGUCAGCUCGUGUUGUGAAAUGUUGGGUUAAGUCCCGCAACGAGCGCAACCCUUAUCCUUUGUUGCCAGCGGUCCGGCCGGGAACUCAAAGGAGACUGCCAGUGAUAAACUGGAGGAAGGUGGGGAUGACGUCAAGUCAUCAUGGCCCUUACGACCAGGGCUACACACGUGCUACAAUGGCGCAUACAAAGAGAAGCGACCUCGCGAGAGCAAGCGGACCUCAUAAAGUGCGU